RNAcentral lists this unclassified non-coding RNA (225 nucleotides) under uncultured fungus. Its description in RNAcentral is "sequence contains ITS1". Lineage: Eukaryota; Fungi. The record is from RNAcentral.
UUAACUAUUAUAUAGUACUCAGACAAUAUUAUUAACAAGAGUUUUAGGUCCUCUAGCAGGCACUGACCAGCCGAAGCCAGCGGCCCGAGAGCGGGCCUGCUAAAGCAACAAAGGUAAUGUAAACAAAGGGUGGAGUUCUUAGUCCCAAGAACAGUACUCCGAAGGGAUUACUAUCUUGGGCUUUGAAUCUCUGUAAUGAUCCUUCCGCAGGUUCACCUACGGAAA